Molecule: long non-coding RNA, 2960 nt
Organism: Hemicordylus capensis (graceful crag lizard)
Lineage: Eukaryota; Metazoa; Chordata; Lepidosauria; Squamata; Cordylidae
Exons: 3
Source: RefSeq, a predicted model, not a curated record
CUGGACAGUCUCAAGGUGGAGAUGUUCUGAGACAAAGAGUAUAAGACAGUACGGGUGUGCAUGGACCAGUUGUGGCAGUUCAGUUCAAAUUCAGUUUUAAUAUGGACUGAACCAUGGGUCCCCAAACUGGUUUGGUAAAACCCACCAGCUGGGCUGGUUGGGUUGAUGAACCAAGUUGAAGAGUUUAGAAGUAGUUUGCAUUCGAACCACUUGAACUGGCCCAGUUUGUGGCUGAUGGGUUCACAGUUCGACCAGUCUGUGCACAACCCUUUGUCUAAAAUAAGAGACUUGGUUAUUAGAAAUGCUGAAAAAACAUGGCAAAAAAGACUGGGUGAAAUAUAGUUCGGGGAAAGAACUGGCUUCCUGUUUAUGUUUUGUGUGUAAAGUGCCUAAGUUUUCUAAGAAGUAAGAACAACUUUGUAACCAAGAAAGGUCUCAGCCCUACUAAACAAUAAUGAAAACAAACAACCCUCAGACAACAGCUGGGCCACUUGGGUCGAUGAACCAGCUCAAAGUUAGAAACGGUUCACGUUCAAACCACUUGAACCAGCCUCGUUUGCAGAUGACCAGUUCACGGUUGGACCAGUCCGUGCACACCCCUAUAAGACAGUCGAAAAUAAAAGACUGGAAUAAGGAAAUAGGAAUAAGGAUUAGGAAUUAGGAAUAAGACAUUCUGAAACAUAUAGAUAUAGAUAAGCCUAAGUAACAUCAAAAGUGAAAACAAACAAAAACAGUCUCAGUACCAAUGCCACACCCUGCAUUAAAGAAGACAUGAGGCAAAUGCUGUUGGCUGGGUCAGCCUGGGGUGAAGCUUAGUCAGCCAAUUUGGUGCUUUAUCCGUCAUUGGCUCCAUCUUUGUCCAGUGAAGAAUGUGCUUUUUUGGUCAUCCUUAUGGGGCCAAGUAGCAAUUUUUUGCUUCCCAGUGGACUGACUGAGUUCAGAAGUUUUUUCAGCUACUCUCCCUUCCCUUUAGCUAGAUUGUUAAAUUGGUCCUAGCCAGGCAGGUGCAGUGCAAGCUGGGAGUAGAAGUAGUGGGGGAUUGAUUGGCGAGCACCCUUGGUUGGGUUUAGGAAGGGGGGAGUAGUUGAUCUUAGAGUCUUUGUGGCUCAGGGGCUAUAAUUCUACCCCUGUUGGGGGCUCCAUAAACCUCAAAGGUUGAACAGCUUGAUGGGAGGUGAAGCCCCUGAGAGGACCCUGGCAUCUCUGGGGGUUGGCAAAGAGGAGUUAGGUUCAGCACCAGUCUGAUUCGGUGCUCUGAGCCGGGGUGCGAUCAUCCGGAAGUCUUGAGGGAAGGAUGUUAUUAUUCUGUGACCCUCAACUUAAGUUAGGCAAACAAUAAAGCUAUUCUCACAAUCCUUGAGAAGAGCUUGCGGGCAGUCUUCAGGGAAGGAGGGUUUAACCUACCUUUCCCACAAAUGAUCACAUUGAAGUCCCUAGGUGGGCAGAUCACCCACCCAGAUGACCAGCGGCUCCUGCUUCAGCUCCUGGGGUCAGGGUGCCGGGAUGUGCCACCACGUGUCACCCCACCCCCCAGAGUCCCAAUAAUGCACCACACAAGUGUGUGAUACAUUACUGGGAUCCCUCCUCCCUCUGAGUGUGCCAGCCAUGGUGAUUAAAACAAUGUUAAGGGAGUGCUUGCUCCCUUAACUUUGUUUAAUUAAGUGGCUCAAUAGGUGGGUUUGCCGCCAUGUAGCCUCUGGGAUCAGACCUCAUCCUGGUGGUUCACACAAGCAUGCAAAACCAGGCUGGGCUCCCUUAGCCCGGUUUUGCGUGCUCACGUUAAUGGCCUCAUUGUCUGAGGGACUAAGUGAGCAAGAAUUAGUGCUACCACUAGGAAGAGAUAAUCAAAUAGGUUUGCCUGAUAUACAGCUAUAUUAUGCUGCUUAUCAGUUAUGCCAUGAUCUUAGGUUUGUGUAUAACAAUUAGUUUCUACGAGAAAAGUAUAAUUUCUCAGUGGGGCUCUGCACAUCCUCAUCUACACAUUCUUGAAAAGCACAUAAUACAGCAUUGUUAGGACUACACCACAUCAGGUGGGAGGUCAUAUAUUUGAAAGAAAAAGAUUAACCUCUCAUGGACAACUAGCACUUCAGGGAGAAAGCUCUAGUGAACAUUUCUUGCUGACUUUCCUCAGGCAGGAGUUUUCUGAAGAGGGGAGACUCAGCCACAGAAAAGGAUCACCAUCUGUUGCUGUCUGAAAACUUCAGAUUCUUGCUAAACCUGAAUUUGAAGCAUCCUGGUCACAGAGAGUAUAAGAGAAGGACCAAGUGAACAGUGCCAAAGACCAAAAGAUUUCAGGACCUUUGGGAAACUGCUGAGGCAGAAGAACCAGGAAUGACUCCUGCUAAAUGAGAUUUCAGAUCACCGGAGGGUCUUGUACUUUCUGUGACUCCAUGAGCAAUAGGCUGGCUGUCUAGUUGGCUUCUUUCCAACCUCAGCAUAUGUCACUCAGAGCUUCUCAGGCUUGUAAUACUCACUGGAGCUUCAAGUAAUUCUGAUGUGGAGGGUGAAGAAUGAGAUCAAAGAAACUUGCUUCUGUGCAAGCUUUGAAACAGCCUGAAGGCUGAGGAAAAUGCUGUGCAAAGCUAUUCAAAGCACAGCCUUCAUCAAUUUAUUUCCUAGCUCGAGAUUAUCAGAAAAAAGAAUGCUUGACUGACAGUGCAUUGGGAAUGUUUACUUCCAGAUCAGAUCAAAUCCUAUGAAUACUACAUGGCUUUUGAGAUUUGACAGAGAAUCUGCAUCCUAUCCCUGUGGGCUGAAUAUAUUCUGUACAGACAGAAGAGCAAAAUGCCUAUCUUCCCUGUUUUACAUAGGGAAUUUCCAUGGGAUGGAAGGUGACCAGAGUGUAACAUUUUACUUUGUGGAACAAAAAUAAGGAGGCUAAACAUGUGGAGGCUGAAAGAAGAGCCUUCCCAUCUCUGAAAACCUUUUAAAAAUCCAUAAAGACUCAUUUUUUCACCCAA